RNAcentral lists this long non-coding RNA (1691 nucleotides) under Sorghum bicolor (sorghum). Its description in RNAcentral is "long non-coding RNA (SBIC_LNC007334)". Lineage: Eukaryota; Viridiplantae; Streptophyta; Magnoliopsida; Poales; Poaceae. The record is from RNAcentral.
UGGUCAAAAGGAAAAAGUGAAACAAAAAAAAAGGGGGCCGGCGUUUCCUAUUCUUCCCCUUCCUUCUUCGUCUCGCUCCGAGUCGCCCUCGCUCAAUGUUCCUGCGCUCGUUCUGCCGUGUUCUCUGAUUAGCCUGUUGCUCUCAAAUUUCUUCAGCGACGUGCUGUGCCUGUCGUGGUCUCCUGUGCGGCGACGUCGCCUCUUCGCCUGCUCGCGUCGCUAGCUGCAUCGGCUGUGCGGCGGCGUGCCUAUCUGCCUCGUCGCGUCGCCGUCUGCAUCGGCAUGUUCUUUGCUGUGCCGUAAGCCGUCCCCUGCUUCAUCUGCUCCCUUCUUUAUUAUGUGGCCGGGGCUACCUUCGUGCUUCUUCAGCGGGCCUUAUACCGGCUCGUCUGCCCGUGCUGAGUCUCUGUGUUGCCUUUUUUUUGUCCAUGUCUUCUAAAUCAGAUUUGUUCCCUUUUGUUUCCUAUGUUGUGCUUUUACAUUGUGCUUCUGAUUUGAUCAUUUGUGUUUCUGAUUUGUUCAUUUUCUAGGAUGUGCCUGGGUUUACUGUUAAUGCGCGCUACUCUUCUGUUGUGUGCGUUGUUUAGUGUUUCCUAAUAGGUUGCGUGCCUACUUGUGUGCCCGUUGUUUUUAGGGAAUGUAGUUAUUUAGAUUACCUCUUGUUUAUUGGAUUUAUUUAGGCGCCUCUACAGACCUCUACAUGUGAAAUCAGGUGUGCUUAGUAGUUUCUUAUAGUGUUAACAUAGUUUCCGUGCGUUAUAUCUAUACUUAUUUUGCGACCAUGCGCAAUAGGUUGACGACUUUUGUUCAAAAUGAAGCAUACUGUAUCUCUACGAUUUUUAAGUACUAAAGACAUUUUCGUCAGCCUAAUCUGUUCGAUGGUUGCAGGUUGUUGCACGUGCUGGUUAAUUUCUCUCCCCGUGUUUUCUGAUUUGUGGUUCGCCUACGGUUGCCUGCACGAUUCUUACCUGCUACACCAGUUCUUCCGUCCCGUUGCCUGUUUGCAGGUACGAUUGUAAAUCUCUUCUUUCAUUACCUGUUUUAGUUGCUUUGCUUAUUGGCUUGUGCCAUGUUCUCAUCAGUUAGUAGCUAUAUUUCUUAGUUGAUGUAAUUCCUUUUUUACGCUAACAUCCGUUUAUGCAUUUUUAAAAUUUUUAAAUUUCGAAAAUGAAAGAAUUUUUGUCUCAGAAACAGAGUUACGAGAGCAAUAAACUUCCUCCUCGGACCAGAGCAAGCGAAGCAAAAAAAAUGAUGAUAGACGCAGAUGCUACACCAUGUUUUGUUUCAUCGUUGACCCAUUUGUGCCUUGUCUUUUUUGAUUUGAUUGCCUUACGUGCUGUGCUAUAUUCUAUUGUGCCUUCUUGAUCACAUAUUUUCCCCAUUUUGUGUUCCUUUCCCUGUUUCCUAUUCUUUGCCUUGUGUCGUUGUUUUUCUUCUCUUCGUGUGCUGCCGCUUUAGGCCCUCAACGUCCGGUUUCUAUAUUUUCCAACCAUGUUUACUGUCCAUGUUUCUUGCCUGCCUACUCUUCAGAUUGUAGCGCAGUACUGUAGCGUUCCAUUGGUUGCAUUUAUAAAUGAGUUUGCACCAGACAAUACAGCGUUAUAUGGUAUAGAAAUCCACCUACCUUUGUUAUUCCCGUGUGACGUACCACGCCGUCUCUUCUUUUGGUCUGACUCAUCUGUGUUCUGCUU